AGAGUUUGAUCCUGGCUCAGGACGAACGCUGGCGGCGUGCCUAAUACAUGCCAAGUAGAACGCUGAAGACUGGUGCUUGCACUAGUCAGAUGAGUUGCGAACGGGUGAGUAACGCGUAGGUAACCUACCUCAUAGCGGGGGAUAACUAUUGGAAACGAUAGCUAAUACCGCAUGACAAUUAAGUACUCAUGUACUAAAUUUAAAAGGAGCAAUUGCUUCACUAUGAGAUGGACCUGCGUUGUAUUAGCUAGUUGGUGAGGUAACGGCUCACCAAGGCCACGAUACAUAGCCGACCUGAGAGGGUGAUCGGCCACACUGGGACUGAGACACGGCCCAGACUCCUACGGGAGGCAGCAGUAGGGAAUCUUCGGCAAUGGGGGCAACCCUGACCGAGCAACGCCGCGUGAGUGAAGAAGGUUUUCGGAUCGUAAAGCUCUGUUGUUAGAGAAGAACGGUAAUGGGAGUGGAAAAUCCAUUACGUGACGGUAACUAACCAGAAAGGGACGGCUAACUACGUGCCAGCAGCCGCGGUAAUACGUAGGUCUCGAGCGUUGUCCGGAUUUAUUGGGCGUAAAGCGAGCGCAGGCGGUUAUUUAAGUCUGAAGUUAAAGGCCGUGGCUCAACCAUGGUUCGCUUUGGAAACUGGAUAACUUGAGUGCAGAAGGGGAGAGUGGAAUUCCAUGUGUAGCGGUGAAAUGCGUAGAUAUAUGGAGGAACACCGGUGGCGAAAGCGGCUCUCUGGUCUGUAACUGACGCUGAGGCUCGAAAGCGUGGGGAGCAAACAGGAUUAGAUACCCUGGUAGUCCACGCCGUAAACGAUGAGUGCUAGGUGUUAGGCCCUUUCCGGGGCUUAGUGCCGCAGCU
Molecule: ribosomal RNA, 864 nt
Filed under: uncultured bacterium
Lineage: Bacteria
Description: bacterial SSU rRNA
Rfam family: Bacterial small subunit ribosomal RNA
Source: RNAcentral